This 876-nucleotide long non-coding RNA is filed under the name Vitis vinifera (wine grape). RNAcentral's name for it is "long non-coding RNA (VVIN_LNC004693)". Lineage: Eukaryota; Viridiplantae; Streptophyta; Magnoliopsida; Vitales; Vitaceae. The record is from RNAcentral.
AAAAAGAUAAAAGAUAAUUGAACUCUAUUUAAAUUUCACUUAAAAUAAAAAACAAAUAAAUAAUAUCUAAAUAUGUGCGAUUUUGUGGUCUAUUUUUAGGAAUUUAUCCCAAAUGGAGUUUUGCUCAUAUAAUAAAAUUAUUGCAAUCCUCUAUCACUAUUACUUAGUCACAACCAUUUCUCUGUCAUUUUUUUUUUUUUUGUGUGUUUACCUUUUCCUAUCCAUUAUAAGAGUAUCUCUUCUCCUUUCCUUUUUUGAUUUUUUUUUUUGACAUUUUUUGUUGAUAUGAGAGAUUUUUGUGGUUUGAAAGAGUAAGACUUUCAUUUUUUUUUUUCCCCAUAGUUUACCCAUUGUUUUUAAGGAUUAAUUCUCCUUUCCUUUUUAUGAAAAGUUUCUUAGUUUUGUUGUUGAUAUGAGAAAGAUUUUUGUGAUUUGAAGUGUUAAUCCUUAAAAACAAAACAAAACAAAUUAUAGGUUGUUGUUCUUGCUUUUCUGGUGAAGAAAAAUGGUAAGUCGUUUCGACAAGUUUUGUUGAGAGAAGUAAGGAGAAGUUGUUGUAUAGGAAGGGUUACUCAAAGUUUGGGCUAAAUAACAGAGAUGGAAGCAAGACUAGUGUCACGAGAUGCUUCAAAUGACCCUCCCCUUAGGGGUUAUAUAGAGGUCAAGAAACUUAUGGAGACUCCUACUCUUGGCCAUUGGAGAGGAGUGUGGAAGGUUCUAUAGAUGCCUAGAGAAGUCCACACAUCUCUACACUAUGGUGGAAGACAUGAGAGGAGUCCAAGGCUUUCUAUAAAAUUUGACAUUAAAUUUACCAUGAAAUUGCCAAAAUUAAUUUACAAUCUCUCUCUUUAAUUAAAUUCUCUUCAAGCUUGGUUU